GGGCUGGUAUGGGAUCAAUGCUGUUUUAUUGUACUAGUAUUGCACUCGUCCCGGCCUUU
RNAcentral lists this microRNA precursor (59 nucleotides) under Nautilus pompilius. RNAcentral's name for it is "Npo-Mir-92-o48_pre stem-loop". The record is from RNAcentral. Lineage: Eukaryota; Metazoa; Mollusca; Cephalopoda; Nautilida; Nautilidae.